RNAcentral lists this ribosomal RNA (254 nucleotides) under uncultured bacterium. RNAcentral's name for it is "partial 16S ribosomal RNA". It matches the Rfam family "Bacterial small subunit ribosomal RNA", at positions 524 to 776 of the family's 1533-position model. The record is from RNAcentral.
UACGGGGGGAGCAAGCGUUGUUCGGAUUUACUGGGCGUAAAGGGCGCGUAGGCGGCCAGCGCAAGCCAGUUGUGAAAUCUCCGAGCUUAACUCGGAAAGGUCAACUGAUACUGCGCGGCUAGAGUGCAGAAGGGGCAACUGGAAUUCUCGGUGUAGCGGUGAAAUGCGCAGAUAUCGGGAAGAACACCCGUGGCGAAGGCGGUUCUCUGGGACGGUACUGACGCUGAGACGCGAAAGCGUGGGGAGCGAACAGG